GGCCAACAGCCGCGGUAAUCCGAAGGGACCUAGGGUAGUUCGGAAUUACUGGGCUUAAAGAGUUCGUAGGUGGUUAAAAAAGUUGAUGGUGAAAUCACAAGGCUCAACCUUGGAACUGCCAUCAAAACUUUUUAGCUAGAGUAUGAUAGAGGAAAGUGGAAUUUCUAGUGUAGAGGUGAAAUUCGUAGAUAUUAGAAAGAACAUCAAAAGCGAAGGCAACUUUCUGGAUCAUUACUGACACUGAGGAACGAAAGCAUGGGUAGCGAAGAGGAUUAGAUA
This 279-nucleotide ribosomal RNA is filed under the name uncultured bacterium. RNAcentral's name for it is "partial 16S ribosomal RNA". It matches the Rfam family "Bacterial small subunit ribosomal RNA", at positions 506 to 784 of the family's 1533-position model. The record is from RNAcentral.